AACGCACGAGACCUGCGGACCUGCGGAGGGAUCAUUACCGAGUGUGGCCCUUUUUUAAUGGGGGUGCCUCCCGUCCUUUGCAGGCCCUUAGGGGCUUUUUGACUUUGCUUCGGCGGGGCUGCCCCGCCGGAACACCCUCAAGAAAAUCUCAAAAAAAACCGUGCAGUCCGAGGGCUUGCGAAUAAACAAAAACUUUUAACAAUGGAUCUCU
Molecule: unclassified non-coding RNA, 211 nt
Filed under: soil metagenome
Description: partial contains 5.8S ribosomal RNA, internal transcribed spacer 2, and large subunit ribosomal RNA
Source: RNAcentral